ACCGUCGACAGUCAGGUAACGAGCGAGACCCACGCCAACAGUUGCCAGCUCGUCCUCCGGGAUGGUGGGGACACUGUUGGGACCGCCUCUGCUAAAGAGGAGGAAGGAAUGGGCAACGGUAGGUCAGCAUGCCCCGAAUUAUCCGGGCUACACGCGGGCUACAAUGGGUGGGACAAUGAGUAUCGACACCGAAAGGUGAAGGCAAUUUCCUAAACCCAUCCUUAGUUCGGAUUGUGGGUUGCAACUCACCCACAUGAAGCUGGAAUCCGUAGUAAUCGUGUCUCAAAAUGGCACGGUGAAUAAGUCCCUGCUCCUUGCACGAAUUCGCCG
RNAcentral lists this ribosomal RNA (330 nucleotides) under uncultured Methanomicrobiales archaeon. RNAcentral's name for it is "bacterial SSU rRNA". It matches the Rfam family "Archaeal small subunit ribosomal RNA", at positions 1023 to 1352 of the family's 1478-position model. Lineage: Archaea; Methanobacteriati; Methanobacteriota; Methanomicrobia; Methanomicrobiales. The record is from RNAcentral.